GAUGAACGCUGGCGGCGUGCCUAACACAUGCAAGUCGAACGGAGUCCAGCCUUUAAGACCUUCGGGUCAAAGAGGGGAAGACUGAGUGGCGGACGGGUGAGUAACACGUGGGCAACCUGGCUCAUAGAGGGGGAUAACAGAGAGAAAUUUCUGCUAAUACCGCAUAAGCACACACUGCCGCAUGGCAGAGGGUGAAAAGAGAAUCGCUAUGAGAUGGACCCGCGUCUGAUUAGCCAGUUGGCAGGGUAAGAGCCUACCAAAGCGACAAUCAGUAGCCGAUCUGAGAGGAUGAACGGCCACAUUGGGACUGAGACACGGCCCAAACUCCUACGGGAGGCAGCAGUGGGGGAUAUUGCACAAUGGGGGGAACCCUGAUGCAGCGACGCCGCGUGAGUGAAGAAGUAUUUCGGUAUGUAAAGCUCUAUCAGCAGGGAAGAUAAUGACAGUACCUGAAUAAGAAGCCCCGGCUAACUACGUG
Molecule: ribosomal RNA, 478 nt
Filed under: uncultured bacterium
Lineage: Bacteria
Description: partial 16S ribosomal RNA
Rfam family: Bacterial small subunit ribosomal RNA
Source: RNAcentral